GGAUGGGAAGGUUUUUGGGGAAUGAGGGAUUGACAAUAUCCCUCAGGCUGGGAAGGUUUUUGGGAAAUGAGGGGUUGACAAUAUCCCUAGGCUGGGAAGUUUUUGGGAAAUGAGGGAUUGACAAUAUCCCUCAGGCUGGGAAGGUUUUUGGGAAAUGAGGGGUUGACAAUAUCCCUAGGCUGGGAAGGUUUUUGGGAAAUUAAGGGGAUUGACAAUAUCCCUCAGGCUGGGAAGGUUUUUGGGAAAUGAGGGGUUGACAAUAUCCCUAGGCUGGGAAGGUUUUUGGGAAAUUAAGGGUUGACAAUAUCCCUCAGGAUGGGAAGGUUUUUGGGGAAUGAGGGAUUGACAAUAUCCCUCAGGAUGGGAAGGUUUUUGGGUAAGGAGGGAUUGCCAAUAUCCCUCAGGCUGGGAAGGUUUUUGGGGAAUGAGGGGUUGACAAUACCCCCAGCCCGACUGUCCCUGGGUGGGGAUGGGCGGCUGUGUCUCCCCCAGCCCCCCGCACCCACCCCAGGCCAUGAGGGUGAGAUGCAGAGAGGGAUUUUCUUCACUUCAAAUGGGUGUUCAGAGUGAGAUUUUCAUGCUGGUGCUGGCCCAGCUCCUCCUUCUCCAGGCAGGAACCCACCACAGAGCCGCAGGAGCAUCCCCAAACCCUCUCCUGGGACCAUGCUGGGAUGUCCCCAUGGGCUCCUGGCAUCUCCGAGGCUGGGAGGUGAAGCAGCCCCACCUUGGGCCAUGACUCCCCUCCUCCCCACGGCUCUUUCCAAGCAUUUGCAGGCAAAUCUGAUGCUGGAGAAGUGGGGAUCGUGGUGGCCCAGCUGCUGCUCCCUCCUCCUCCAUUCUCCCCCAUCCCCUUUGCUCCCCGUAGCUCAGUUAUGCAGGUAGGUGUUAGCAAACCUGGGGUGUCUGCAAAAACUUUUGUAAAAUAGAAUAAACCCUUGAAAUGAUGCACUAAAAGGAAAAAAAAAAAAAAUCAUAAAUGCCCCUUUCCCCUCAGCUUCUCUGUGUGAUGGUUCCUUGGAUGUCCCCGCUCAGCCCCACAGGCAGCUCUGCAUCCUCCCCCCAGGCUGCUGCACAGGUAGAAACAAACCAGGACGUGCACUUCCCCCGAGGAGUUUUAUUUAUUGUUUUGAGAAGCAAUUUAAAAGGGAAAAACAACAAAAAAAAAGAGAAACUGUAUCUAUAAUAUAUAUAUAUAUAUAUAUAUAUAUUUUUAACCUCUUUUUUUUUUUUCCUGAUGCUCCUCCACCCGUGUGUGUGGGUGUGUGUGUGUGUGCGAGUCAAGGGAUUUGGUGGCCAGGGCUGGCAGCUCGGGGCAGCCGUGGGGCAGCCGUGGGGCAGCUGUGGGGCAGCUGUGGGGCAGUUUUGGGGCAGUUUUGGGGCAGUUGUGGGGCAGCUGCCCCCGUCCCCAGCCGGAGCACAGGGACCAGGGCUCCCUCCCAUCCCAGCUCUCAGUGCCCAGCAGCAGCAGUGCGAGGGGAGGGAGGCUUUAUGUGGAGUUUGUAAUAUUUUAACCGGGAUUUUUGCCUAAUUCCAUCUUUCUCUGAAGUGUUUGCAACCCUCGGGCUCUGGCCUGACCGAGAACCUCCCGCGCCCUGGGGAUGUCACCCCCACUCCCUGUCCCCGUUCCCUCCCUACUUCGCUCCCUUGACAAUCAGUGGCUCCUUCCCAGGGACUGCAGCACGUGGUUGAGACGUCUAUUUCGUUUUUUCAAUAUUCCUUUUUUUGUGCUGUAUGGUGAUGCGUUAUUGUAUAUUCCACAAUAAGACAAAAAAAAAUAUAUAAAAAAAAUGAUAAUAAUAAUAAUUACCAUGAGAAAUUCUUAUGAGUUUUGUUUGGAAACUCUUUCACUAUAUUUGUUGUAAAGAGGUUUACUAUUAAAAAGAAAAAAAAAAA
This is a long non-coding RNA of Taeniopygia guttata (zebra finch), 1893 nucleotides long. The record is from Ensembl. Lineage: Eukaryota; Metazoa; Chordata; Aves; Passeriformes; Estrildidae.